Long non-coding RNA from Drosophila obscura, 279 nucleotides. RefSeq lists it as uncharacterized. Lineage: Eukaryota; Metazoa; Arthropoda; Insecta; Diptera; Drosophilidae. The record is from RefSeq and is a predicted model, not a curated record. The transcript is spliced from 2 exons.
ACUUUUACCAGUUGUCUGUGUCUAGUGAAAUUUCCUGUGUUUUUCUUUCAUAUAUUUUCCUGCCUUAUUUUCAUUUGACAGCCGCUAGAGCAGGGAAUUGAUAUCGCACGGAGGGAAGGACGUUGACCAGCGUUUAAUCAGAUUUGGAAGCAGAGUUCGCAGAACUUUGUUAUCCCAUCUUGGGUCUGGGAGUUCGGUGUGGACUCAACUAACGAUACAAUUGAUUAACAACAUGCUGAUUAAAUAAAGACAGAUGCUUGUCUGCCUCUCCCUGCAAAA